UCCCCGUUGCCGGGGCAGUCUCUUCAGAAAAAUACAACUGAAGACAAGGGUUGCGCCCGUUGAUGGACUUAACCAAACAUCUCACGACACGAGCUGACGACGGCCAUGCAAGAUCUGUCACCGAGUUCAAUAAAGCACUCACGCCUUUCGGCAUAAUUCUCGGGAUGUCAAGCCCUGGUAAGGUUCUUCGUUUAUCAUCGAAUUAAAGAACACAAUCCACCGCUUGUGCGGGUCCCCGUCAAUUCCUUUAUGUUUUAGUCUUGCGACCGUACUCCACAGGCGGGAUACUUAACGCGUUAGCUUCGCUACUGAAGGGGUCGAUACCUCCAACAGCUAGUAUCCAUCGUUUACGGCGUGGACUA
RNAcentral lists this unclassified non-coding RNA (362 nucleotides) under uncultured bacterium. RNAcentral describes it as "contains 16S-23S intergenic spacer region". The record is from RNAcentral.